Molecule: long non-coding RNA, 406 nt
Filed under: Monodelphis domestica (gray short-tailed opossum)
Lineage: Eukaryota; Metazoa; Chordata; Mammalia; Didelphimorphia; Didelphidae
Description: lncRNA (ENSMODG00000044377.1)
Source: RNAcentral
CUGGGGAGAGUGGCUGCCUGUUCUGAGGUUUCUAAUCCAAUCAAGCUUCAUAUCCUGGUUGCUAUCCUUGUUAUCCUGUAGCUUUGUUUCUUUGGGAGAAGAACCCUGUGAUCCUGACGUUAGCCUGAACCUGCACUGUCAGACCCAAAAGGUGACUCUUCACAUGGACAUCACCAGAUGAUUAAUAUCAAAAUCAGAUUGACUUUAAAUUUUCCGACCAACGUUUAAGACUAUAAAGUAAAAAAACAAGAUCUGGGGCUGACUUUUGCUCAGAUCACAAGCAUUGCAUGAAAUUGCAAAAUUCAGAAAAAAAUGAAGAGGGUUGAAAAAAAACCAUCAGACCAUAUUACAUGUGACUUAAAUAAUAGACUUAUGAAUAUGAAGCAGAAAUGAAGAUAUAUUUAAG